This 1760-nucleotide long non-coding RNA is filed under the name Sarcophilus harrisii (Tasmanian devil). Its description in RNAcentral is "lncRNA (ENSSHAG00000031934.1)". Lineage: Eukaryota; Metazoa; Chordata; Mammalia; Dasyuromorphia; Dasyuridae. The record is from RNAcentral.
AGGCAGGUCGUCAUGCAGAAAGAAUUCACAGGCUCAGGCCGCCGCAGAUUCAAGGGACAAAACGAUUUAUUAUGAUGCCAUAAAACAGGCACAGUUCCCUAGUGGGAUUCACAUUUAAUAAGGAGGAAGUUGGGACCUUUUGUGAGAAAAGACUCAGUGCUUGGGUACCCUGAAGAUUGGGGGUGCUGGGCAAUGAUUUUUGGUAGCUUCUCUGAAAGAAGUCAGGUUCAAACCAUCUCAAAUCAAGCAAAGACACUGAUUUGGACAUUUAGUUAAGUAAAGGGUAAUACACACUGUGAACCUCCUCUUUAAGGGGGGGGGCAACCCAGCAGAGUGAUGUGGGGGUUUAUUCAGAGAAGGAAAAGGAAGCAAAACAUAGGAGAAUUUGGCAGCAAGUUGGAUGAUCUCAGUAGAUUUUGCACUUCCUUUACAAUGCGAGGUCGGGUCUGCAUGAGAAAGGUCCCUGUGAACAAGCAUUAGACAUAGUGAGGCUCCCCAAAUCUGGGGCAACAGUGAAGCAAGGAGAAGAAUCGCCAAACCCGGGAGUGAAGUGGUCUCUGGAGGGUGAGUGGUCACUUGUGGGAAAUAUCCUCUACAAAACUGCCCUAAAAUUCUCUUCUCUUCCUCAAGCCACACCAGAAACAUUUCUGAUGCAGUUUCAAUAAUCAAGAGAAUAACAGCCAUGUCUUACAAUAUAAAGACCCAAUUAUUCUUACAUCAUUUUGAAACAUUUAAGGACUUUGUUUCAUAGAAAUUACACACACACACACACACACACACACACACACACACAUUUUCCUGAGUGUUCAGUUUAUUAUGACUCCAUAUUUUAGGACUGAAAACAGUAAAAUCCUACAUACUUACAUUGCGCUCAUAUUUUCUACUGAUCAUUUGCUCUCAUUAUAGAAAAUUGCUAUAAAAGGAAAAGCAAGAACAUGAUUAUAACAGUAUCAAACUGGUCCUUCUGGCUUAAGUCUAAAGGCACAUGGGUGUGGGAAUAAAGCAUUCUUGGGUCUGUUGGACUUGAGGUAAGAGUCACUGUCUACAAGCAGUCAUGCAGUCACCAUUCUAUCUCAUACACAGACUCAGGAAAAGUAAAUUGGGAGACCUUCCGACUCAAAGAACACAGUUGGGAAACGGCAUGGGAAGGGUCUCACAAUAAUGAAGCCAAAGGUUGUCCUCUCAGCUUUUGCCACAUACAGACCUCCACCUCUAAGUGUCCAGGAUCACACCCCUCUCGGUAGGCUGUGACAGCUCUUUCCAAUGAUGAGUGACUGGCUUGAUGAGCCAUCAGACAAUCAUACCUGAAUUCAAAGCUCAAAGCAGUAUCAGUUAGUCCUAAGAGAUUUUGGCUCCAAUAGCAAGUUUCAUUCUCGGGGAUUCAGCUCUCAAAGAUCACAUACCCGAAAUAACAGUUAUUGCCCAUAAGCUUACAUAGGUAACAUUGCAAGACUAAUCACAGAAAACCCACAACAUAUUUUGAUAUCUAAAAGAUGGUUUUCAGUUCGAUCAUUAUAGAAAACAUUUUUUAUCCUAUUUUAUUUUUCCAAAGAUAGUUUUCAACUUUCACCUUCAGAAAACCUUGCGUUUCAAAUGUUUCUCUCUAUCCUCCCUAAGACAGCCGGCAAUCUGAUAUAGGUGGAACAUGUGUCAUUAUCCUAAACAUAUUCAUCAUGUUGCACAUACAGAGGAAGGUCGAUGAAAAGGAAAAAAGUUGAGAAAAAGAAAAGCAAAAACAAUCAACCAAACAAAGUAAAAAA